AUGAGUCGUCAUGAUGGCACCAACAUCCCCGAUGGCAAGUUCUACCUAGGAGAUGCUGCCUAUGCAUGUCGGUCAGGCAUUCUUCCACCCUUCAGGAAAACUAGGUACAAUCUGAACAAGUUCUCUGGUAGAAACUAUCCAAGAAUUCCUCAGGAACUAUUCAAUGUCAGACACUUCAACCUUAGAGUAAUGUUUGAGAGGGCAUUUGGAGCUCUGGAGAAUAGGUUUAAGAUCCUGGAUCAAAAGUCAUUCCAUAUUUACCCUACCCAGGUCAAGCUUGUUCUUGCAUUCAUUUUUUGGAAAAAAUUGCAUACUUACGCUAGCUGCAACAUGCAAGAACAUACAAAGGAACUCGAAGGUCCCACUAAGGAUAGAAGCGCAUAUUGGCGAUGCUUUUGCAAGGUGGAUAUCAUUACAUCGUACCAUUACAUAAUAGUUGGGGAUACAUAG
This 450-nucleotide ribosomal RNA is filed under the name Triticum aestivum (bread wheat). Its description in RNAcentral is "partial small subunit ribosomal RNA". The record is from RNAcentral. Lineage: Eukaryota; Viridiplantae; Streptophyta; Magnoliopsida; Poales; Poaceae.